Vanessa tameamea is the source of this 169-nucleotide small nuclear RNA. RefSeq annotates it as U4 spliceosomal RNA. The transcript has a single exon. Lineage: Eukaryota; Metazoa; Arthropoda; Insecta; Lepidoptera; Nymphalidae. The record is from RefSeq and is a predicted model, not a curated record.
UUUUUUGCGCAGAGGCAAUAUCGUAACCAAUGAGGUGAAUCCGAGGUGCGAUUAUUGCUAGUUGAAUAAAAAAUAUAUACAUUAGAUAUUGUCAGAGGUUCAGUGGUUUCAUACGUAUAACGAAUUACAUUUUACAAACAAAUUCUUCGCAAAUCUAUGAAUCAUGGAU